GGAAAAAAUCUUUAAAAUUAAUUCCCUUAAAUCCAAACAUAUGGUCAGCCCAAAAUUCCCAUGACCCAUUAACUAACCAACAAUCCUUGGAAAUUUAUUCACUGAAUCAACGGAAAAGGAGACAGCACAAAUGACAUACAUCGUUCUUUGGGAAUACACUAAUCAAUUCAUAAAGCAUGUGACAAGAUUACCAAAACUAGCAACAACAAUAAAUUUGAAAGUACUGAAGCACAACGUAAAUUAAUAAAUAAAGAGAUAGAAUUAAAAUUGAACUUUUAUUAUGGAAUAUGUUCCCCAAUGUGUACAGCAAGAAACUGAGCUUCAAAAAUCUCAAAUGAGCUUAUCAAUCAGAACCUUAGACUGGAAUCGACGACCUCGAACGAGUUCAACUCGAACGAGCUUCGAAAAUUCUCAAAUGAGCUUCUCGAUUUUUUGAGAUGGUAGGCUGGUUUUGUUUUGUAGUUGUAUUUUGUGGAGUUCAUGGCUGGAUCUUGCCGGAGUUUGGAGGCGAUUUAUGGUUGAGUUUGGGGCUAGUUUUGAGGCAUUUUGGAGUCAAUUUUGAUUGGGAAUUUGAGGUCAUUUUGGAGCUGCAUUUUGAACGAUUUUGAGGCUGUUUUUGGGUGGUUGUCGGCUGAUUAUUUUCAGCGAUUUUGGGGCCGAUUGGAGCCACUGUUGAGCUGAUUUUUGUGGGGAAAAAUAAUUGGUUUGGACGAUUUUAAUCAAUGGAAAGGCUGAAAUUUGGAGCUGGGAUUUUGAGGUUGGUUCUUCGAUGGUUUAAUGUAGUAUUUUAAUGGAGUUUAUGGUGGCUUGGGGAAGCAGAAGGCAACGCUCCUUUUUUUUUGGGCAUUUUUUUGCUGCUUUUUUUGGGUCUAAUUUUGCCCGUCCUUCACCAAAUCUUUUUCUCUCAUUCUUCUUCUUCUUAUUUAUUUUUGCGUGGGGAAGAAGGAAGAUAUAUAAGUGCAGGUAUAUGAAUUAAUUGGCGGCCAAGAAAAAAAGUAUAUGUCAUGUGAGUGAGUUUUG
Molecule: long non-coding RNA, 1020 nt
Filed under: Nicotiana benthamiana
Lineage: Eukaryota; Viridiplantae; Streptophyta; Magnoliopsida; Solanales; Solanaceae
Description: long non-coding RNA (NBEN_LNC015524)
Source: RNAcentral